This is a long non-coding RNA of Protopterus annectens (West African lungfish), 1260 nucleotides long. RefSeq lists it as uncharacterized. NCBI's taxonomy places the organism in Eukaryota, Metazoa, Chordata, Ceratodontiformes, Protopteridae. The transcript has 3 exons. The record is from RefSeq and is a predicted model, not a curated record.
CUUGCUUUCACUUCCAGGUGAAACAAAAUGGUGGCCACUUUUGCAUCAGGAUUUUUGGCUUCUGUUGAUGGUUCUACUAUUGCUGUUUCUCAUUUUGCUUCUGAUAUUGUUUCAGUAUCUUUUUCACCCGUAUCUUCUUUGCCUGGUUCUCAGACCUCUGUUGAAGGUUCUACUUUUGGGAAGCUGCUGAUAAUUUGACUUUGACUGGGGUAAUUAUAUGAAACUACAGGAUCAUUCUCAGACUUGUACUGCUUCAGUAUCUGCUGUUUAACUCCCCCAAUGGAGAAGCCGAAUACUUCUGCUAGUUGCCAUAGCUUCUGUUGCCACUACUGUUGUAUCUAAAGCUAAAUCCUAUGCUGCUGUGGUGAAAAAGGCACUUUCUGCUUCUGGCAGUCGACUUUGGUCUAAUAGACAGUCGAGGAUUUUUUCUAAACUAUUGGUGCAUUUGAAGUUUGCUUCAGGUCAGCCUUUAUCACGUAGAGGUGGAGCAUGGCCGCUCCUGCUUGAAAAGGUAGAACUCUACUGGCAACUGCGACUUGGAGCACAGAUUUGGCCAGGUUUAAAUGAAGCCGAAUCUUUGGGAUGAAAUGCUGGGAAGAUUGCAAGAAAACAUAUUUAAAUUUGCACAUGACUCAAGAACUGAGGACAACAUCAUAUCUUACUUAGUGAUCCUCACAAACGCACAUUAUCGACGGAAGACUGAGCUUAUCAUGUUGCUUUCAAUUUUACCAAAGCAAGGAAUUUCCAUGGAUUGGCAGAAGCCUUCUGCCAUCUGCUUCCAGUAAGUGGCUUUGUGUAUCAAGGUUCCAGAGAAGCCUGGCUAAAGGCUAUAAUGUGAGCCAUAUCAAAUAUUACUAAAUAUUACUAUGCAUAGUAUAGGAUAACCACCAUACAAAGUAUUAUUGUUUUUGGAGGAAAUAUUCAGAGAAACCAUAGGCCCAUAGCAGUGCAACAAGUUAUUAUGUAAGAAUAAGUAAAAGUGUCCAGCUGGCAAAGGGAGACCACCAAAAAACCCAGACCUUAUUAUAUUUUACUUUGCAGAUAAAGGACAACUGUGUUUGAUUGAUUCUGACUUACCAACAUGAUAGGAACAUUUAAAAGCACCUCUAGAGCCUUAUGAUAAUGUGCACUGGCAGAGAUACCCUUGCAUUACCGAUUCAGAAAUGAAAUACUAUGAAGAUAAACUUGCAAAUGCUGCAAGUCCACAGAUUCAUACAACAACAUAAAUGCUUUGAUUAAACAGUUUUGUUUAAAAAUUUA